Molecule: long non-coding RNA, 660 nt
Filed under: Oryctolagus cuniculus (rabbit)
Lineage: Eukaryota; Metazoa; Chordata; Mammalia; Lagomorpha; Leporidae
Description: lncRNA (ENSOCUG00000031592.1)
Source: RNAcentral
CUCUGUGCCUGCCAGCUUGCCUGCCUGUCUGCCUGCAGAGUUGCAGUGCGGAGUAUCAUUGCAGCGCUUUUUCAGGGAGUAACGUGCUGCACUGGUUCGGGCUUUGUCUUUAUUCACAACACAUUCGUGUGCCUCAGCAGGGGUGGGGACUGCACUGUUGCCUGCCAGCCUGUCCUCUUUGACUGUCUGCUGAAUAAUCGAGUGAAAACUCUCCAUUAGAGGGAGAGAGAGAGAGAAAGAGGAGAGAGAGAGAGAGAGAGAGAGAGAGAGAGAGAGAGAGAGAAGGAAGAGAGGAGCACAUUGAGAUACAGAGGAAGAAAGACCACGCAAAAAGAAGAGGGGUGGAGAGGGGAGAGAAGGGGAGAAACGGAUGCUGUCUGGCGCGCUCAUAUAUUAGGGCUCUGGCAGGAGGCUGCAGGAGCAGCAUCAGCAAGCUUUCAGGCAGUGAUUCUAACUGUUGCCCGUGAACACCAUGGUCAGGAUGACUUUGAAGAGGCAAUUGAUUACUUAUGCAUAGAACACUCUAGCUCUGCUAAAACUAGGAAAUCAGACACCCCCUUGUUUUCUAAUUUAGAGACUUGCGUCUUUCGAGCCUCAACACUUUCAAGACACUCUGCUUCAGUAUUUUCUGUAACAACUGUUCACUGGAGCAGAUUUUGA